This is a long non-coding RNA of Etheostoma spectabile (orangethroat darter), 1256 nucleotides long. RefSeq lists it as uncharacterized. The record is from RefSeq and is a predicted model, not a curated record. NCBI's taxonomy places the organism in Eukaryota, Metazoa, Chordata, Actinopteri, Perciformes, Percidae. The transcript has 4 exons.
UCUAGAAACAACAUAUAGUGGUUUGUUUUGAACAGCUUUUAGAUUUUAAUUUGUAAUCAUGACAUUUCUAUGAUUUAGAUUUUGUAGGGUUAUUUUUAAACAUGUAUUAAUCUGUUUUUAUUUUAAUUCUGCUUUGUCUUUAACUCUUUUGCCAUUGCGGCCUUUUGCCAGUAUUCGCUGUUUAACAUGGGUGGAACUUUUAAACUGAUACUCCACCCAAUAACAUCUGCAAAUAUGUACCCUGUAGAAUUGAAAGUGGUUUUCUGUCCUAUGUGAGACUGCAAACUUUGGAAAUUCAACAAUAAAUUUCUUGAGUACCCCUUGAACUUUGGAUCUAUAGGAUAAAUAAGAUUUGUUUUAUUGGAACAUUUGAAUUUUCUGGAGCCGGGUUUUGAUGCAUGUGGAAAAUGAAUCACAGCUAUAUGUUUUGUUUCAUGCUCUUUUCUAAUUUUGAAAGCAUAAUAUUAAGGUGUUCACUGUACAUAUUUUAGGUGUGGUAUCAUUCACAAGAUGUCUGGAUUUAACCAUUUUCUUCUGAGCUUCUGUAUUCUAGGAUACAUUUUCUACUGUUCCACGGCUUGGCGUGUAGAUAUGCCAAGCAACAUCAGAGGAUUGGUGGGUUCCUGCCUUUUAAUCCCUUGCACCUACAAUUACGAUCAGUAUCCACCUCGCAGACCAGAGCGUGUGGCUUGGUACCAACAUGCAAGCUACUCAUAUCCUGUAGUUUGUAAAGAUUGGGACAUGAGCGAUGAAAUUGCUAUAUUUAAAGGUAAAACACGGACACCCAAUGCUGGGUAUGGGAGAAAUUGUGACCUUUUAAUCUACCCAGUGACAUGGAAUCACCACAGAGAGAAGAUUUACCCCUGGGUAGAUCCAGAAUACAUUGGGAAAUCCAUCCAUGCAUUCUGGGAUAAAACUGUAACAAUUGAAGUAGUUGGCAGUGCAGAGCAACCUCGUAUUACAAUAUAUGGAGACAGGAAGGUUGGAAAGCCUGUGACAGUACAAUGCACCGUUUCCCACACCUGUUCCUACUAUCCACCAGAUCUGAGUCUCAACAUCCCACUGCAAAGCCACAGUCUAAAUCAUAGCUCGGGGUAUGGUGGCACAACCGAAACCACCUUGACGACCACAUUAAACAUAGAGAGAGACCACCAAACUGUGCAGUGCUCCGUCCGACACAUGGGCGGUGAAACUGCAACUGCCACUCAAACCUUAAAUGCGUAAUGCUCCUUUUCAGCGUUGAGUAUCAGCCGUAC